GCCCGCCUAGCCGACUUGGUAGAGGCAGGUGGUCCAGACCCGCGGUGUUCCCGGUUCGAGUCCGGGGGCGGGCAC
This 75-nucleotide transfer RNA is filed under the name Streptomyces longispororuber. RNAcentral describes it as "tRNA-Leu". Lineage: Bacteria; Bacillati; Actinomycetota; Actinomycetes; Kitasatosporales; Streptomycetaceae. The record is from RNAcentral.